Esox lucius (northern pike) is the source of this 354-nucleotide long non-coding RNA. RefSeq lists it as uncharacterized. Lineage: Eukaryota; Metazoa; Chordata; Actinopteri; Esociformes; Esocidae. The record is from RefSeq and is a predicted model, not a curated record. The transcript has 3 exons.
UAAGGGAAUGGGAUCCCGUGAGAGUUCAGUCUCGUUUGUCAGGAAGUGAUGCUUUUGACACUACAUGUUGCUGACAUUGAACCUGUGAAAGAACCUCAAGCCAGGAGGAGUGAGGGCGUGUUCUUCCUGUCUUCCUCCCUGCUGCAGCUGCAUCUAACAUCCCAGCACAGCCUUGGCUCUUGGCAAUAAGGUUACUUGCUCAGUCUGAUGAAGCUGCUUGGUUCUCCGUUUCCUUUUCAUGGGGGGGAUAUACACGAUCAUGUGAUGGCAGUGAGUUACCCCAGAGGAGAAGAACCUAACGCCAAGUCCUGUAAACAUUAUUUUUGUACAUGUUCCAAUAAAUAGUUAAACUAA